UACGAAGGGGGCUAGCGUUGCUCGGAUUGACUGGGCGUAAAGGGCGCGUAGGCGGUUUGUACAGUCAGGUGUGAAAUUCCCGGGCUCAACCUGGGGGCUGCAUUUGAUACGUGUUGUCUAGAGUGAGGAAGAGGGUUGUGGAAUUCCCAGUGUAGAGGUGAAAUUCGUAGAUAUUGGGAAGAACACCGGUGGCGAAGGCGGCAACCUGGUCCUU
This 214-nucleotide ribosomal RNA is filed under the name uncultured bacterium. RNAcentral's name for it is "partial 16S ribosomal RNA". It matches the Rfam family "Bacterial small subunit ribosomal RNA", at positions 524 to 737 of the family's 1533-position model. The record is from RNAcentral.